UACUAAUGAUUGUUCUUUUUUUUUAACUUGAUUGACAUAUAUUUCGUGAUUUUUGUUAGUGCUCAUACGAUGCUUUGCAUAAAAGUAUUAUUCGGGAUAAUUAUAGAAUAGCUAUGAUAGAGGACGUCCUCCAGAUCAAGAAAAAAUAUGGGUUGAGUUUAGUAUCGCACCGGUUAAUUUUGGCUCACUGAAAAUUUUAAACACGCAUGUAUGCUUAAAUUAUCGAACUUUAUUUUAAAACAUAUUUUAUAAAAAUCGGUUCACAAAUUUUCCACAAAUUCACUUUAAAAAAUGCUAUUUUUUUUUUUUUUUUGCAAUUUUCUAAAUAUAUGCUGGCGUAUUUUCAUAAAUAAAUAGACCCAAUUAGCAAUAAAUGUAUGAAGUGAACGCGAAAAGGUGUACAAUGCUGCGGAUGGCGUAGCCGGUGUUGGACCGGCCGGGAUUAUUUUUUUAAAGCGCGGACGAAGGCCGCCAACGCAGAAAGGAGUACUACACGAAAGUACUUCGGUCACCCCGGAUCCCUUUGUAUCAUUAAUAGAUGCAAUUAAAUAUGUAUAUACAUUGCACUGAAACAUUUUGGUUUUCUUUAUUUUGAUUUCGUGUCCAUACAAAAAUGUUGGCUGGGUUGCAUUGGUUUCAGUUUGUAUGGAAAAAUAAGCAAAAACACUGAUUUUUGGUCAUUUUCAAAGGGCUCCCUACAGGUCUAUAUGGACUCUUGAUAUGGAUAGAAAAAAAAACCACAAAAUUUAUUAAUUUUAAAACAAACGCGUCGUAAAAAUGAGCGCUCAGCACACCUAUUGUAUUGUAUUCUAUUUGUGUGCUUAGACACUCCCAAUUAAUAAUACCAUACCGCGAAAGUAUAUUUUUAUUUGAUAAUUUUAUAUUUUUUUGGAAAAUAUGUGUUCCCUUUCUACAAGGAGCGUUCCCAAGUAAACAGGAAUUGGAAAACAAAAAUCAACAAAUGUUUUUUCGACAAAAUCAUUAUAUUUUAUUCAAAAUAGUCUUCUGCUUCAAUAUAGCUUUUUCACGGUCCAAAAGCAUGUCGAACAAGUGUUUUAGCUCGUUGGCCGGUAUGCCGGUGCAAUACUUUUGAAUGGCCGUCUGCAUAACGCUUUGCUUUCAUGGACAAAUGCAUUUUCAAGCGUUCUUCGAAUGUUGGAUUCUGAGCAAUGUUUGGUCGUCAGUCAAUUUGUGCGGAACAAACCGUGCACACACUUUUCGUUAGCCCAAAUGUUCGGUCAAAAUUAGAUAAAUCGACGUUUUGGAGAUUUUCAAUUCCAUUUUCAUAAAUUUCAAUGAUGAUUUCGGCUGAUUUUUGAUGAAUUCACGCACAGUUUCGAUGGAAUUUUCGGUGUUCUCGGAUUUUGAUUGGCCUAGAUAUUGAUCGUCAUUUAUGUCAUCAUGACAACUUUGGAAACGUUGAAAUCACUCGUGCACUCUGAUACGAGAUAGGCAAUCAUCGCCAAAAACUUGUUUCAUCAAUUGAAACGUUUCGGUAAAAGUUUUACCAAUAUGUAAUGUUGGCUUUUUGUUCGAAGGUCAUUUUCGCACCGAUAACACAAAAAUACUGGCACUUAAAACGCAAUAACUUCGCUUCCAAUCAAUGAAAUGUCAUGAAAUUCUCACUGGAUAAUCGAUAAAGAUAGCAGAUUCUAACGCACCAAAUGGCCACCAGAGGGAGCUAGAUUCAGAAAGUCCUUUGGAACGCUUCUUGUAUAGUGCGUAUUAAUAUUUUAAUAAAUAAACAGCGGCAACUUAGAUCUUUAAAAUUAAUAAAAACAAUUCUAGAAAAAAAAAAAAACUCAAUUCGAUUUUGGAAAAAUAACCAAACUGAAAAAUGUUACAAAUUAUAUAUUUAUAUAAACAUUUUCAUUAAAUGGAACUGCAAUAUCUUUAAAGAAAAUAUUUAUUAUGGUGACAAGUAUCUUUUCUUUUUUAUAUAUGUAGAUACAUAUAUAAAGCUUCCUUGCAUAUGUACGUAUAAAAGCCCACAACUUGAGAAAAAUUUUCCUAAUUGUAACUAAACUGAAUUUUUACAACUGUCAUCACCACCAUUAGCUGUUUCACACAUAUACAGUGGUGUGAACAAAAUAGGAACAACCAUAAGGUAUUGCGAAUAUUUAAAAUGUGUUGUGUUCUUGUUAAAUAAAUCUGUUUUUAAUACGCUUUUAUUAGCUUCACUUGUAUGUAUGUAUGUAUGGAUGUAUGUAUGUAACUUUUUUAAGUGGUACUGAAACGUAGAAUAUUUGAGCGACACUGUAGGAAGCCGAUAGUAAGUUUAAGCAGCUCACCAAAAAGAUGCGCUUAAAAGUAUGCAACAUCUAUAUAAAACUAGUUUAGCAUACUGAUUUGGGCGUCGACCGUUAAUAAGAUGCAAGGUUGUACAGUAGAACAAGUAGUAAUUUAUCUGGGCUCUCGGGUUUGCUGUUGGAUAAGCUUAUGUAGCACUUAGUCGUUGUAGAUCUUUGGACUGUAUUCGAAUUGAAGAACUUGACUGUUCAAAGUUGACAGGUAACAGUGAAGCUUUAGAAGAAAUGAUUCGAUUAAGGAGUAAUAAUUCGUAAAGUCGUCAAUAGAACUUAGUCGCAAACAAUGUAACAAUUAGUCAAUGAAAGGUUACGAGUAGAUAUUAAAUGCUGCCUAAGUAUCGAUUUACUUAACCAAUACUACAUGUCAUAGUUCAUAUGUUAACAAAUUUUGGGGUUACUCACAUCAAACUAAAAAAUUAAAAAUAAACAUAGUUUAAAAAAACUAAAAACACGCUUUUAAAGCAUAUCAAACUAAAAAGUGAAAAAUAAUUCUUUGUAUAAACUGACAAUAAUAAUGAAUUAAAAAUUCCUACAUUACUGUGAGAAAAGCGUGGGGUGCUUUGUGACAUUUUUUUCAUAUGUAAAUAUUUUUUUAGACAUAGCCUCAUCACCAAAGGCUUUCUGCACUAUCCUCAACGUAUCCGCAGCAGAAAAUUGAUUCCGUAAACAAAAUUUAAUGCAAAUUGUUUGCUCAACAAAUUUCGACAUCGCAAAAAACGAAAAACUCACUUUUAGCAGCUCACAAAACGACACGUAUCUCAAACACUAAUGAAUAUUUUGACAUGAAAUUUGACAUAAAAGUUUUUUAGCACUUUAGAGAAAUCUUGGUAUAUUUUAAGGUGUAAAACGUCAAAACGUUUGUUUUGCAGCUAUAUGUUAUAGUGGUCCGAUAUCCGCAGUUCCGACAAAUGAGCAGCUUCUUGAAGAGAAAAUGGCGUUUGCGAAAUUUCAAAACGAUAUCUUUAAAACUGAGAGACUAGUUCGUAUAUAUACAGACGGACAUGGCUAAAUCGACCCUGCUCAACAUACUGAUAAUUUAUAAAUAUGUAUAUUCCUUCUGGGUGUUAUAAACUUCGUGGCGAACUUAAUAUACCCUGUUCAGGGUAUAAAAACGAAAAUCCUUAUAUGUUGUAAAGGGUGAUUUUUUAAGAGCUUGAUAACUUUUUUUUAAAAAAAAACGCAUAAAAUUUGCAAAAUCUCAUCGGUUCUUUAUUUGAAACGUUAGAUUGGUUCAUGACAUUUACUUUUUGAAGAUAAUUUCAUUUAAAUGUUGACCGCGGCUGCGUCUUAGGUGGUCCAUUCGGAAAGUCCAAUUUUGGGCAACUUUUUCGAGCAUUUCGGCCGGAAUAGCCCGAAUUUCUUCGGAAAUGUUGUCUUCCAAAGCUGGAAUAGUUGCUGGCUUAUUUCUGUAGACUUUAGACUUGACGUAGCCCCACAAAAAAUAGUUUAAAGGCGUUAAAUCGCAUGAUCUUGGUGGCCAACUUACGGGUCCAUUUCUUGAGAUGAAUUGUUGUCCGAAGUUUUCCCUCAAAAUGGCCAUAGAAUCGCGAGCUGUGUGGCAUGUAGCGCCAUCUUGUUGAAACCACAUGUCAACCAAGUUCAGUUCUUCCAUUUUUGGCAACAAAAAGUUUGUUAGCAUCGAACGAUAGCGAUCGCCAUUCACCGUAACGUUGCGUCCAACAGCAUCUUUGAAAAAAUACGGUCCAAUGAUUCCACCAGCGUACAAACCACACCAAACAGUGCAUUUUUCGGGAUGCAUGGGCAGUUCUUGAACGGCUUCUGGUUGCUCUUCACCCCAAAUGCGGCAAUUUUGCUUAUUUACGUAGCCAUUCAACCAGAAAUGAGCCUCAUCGCUGAACAAAAUUUGUCCGAAAAAAAAAAAACCGAACACUGAUUUUGGUAAUAAAAUUCAAUGAUUUGCAAGCGUUGCUCGUUAGUAAGUCUAUUCAUGAUGAAAUGUCAAAGCAUACUGAGCAUCUUUCUCUUUGACACCAUGUCUGAAAUCCCACGUGAUCUGUCAAAUACUAAUGCAUGAAAAUCCUAACCUCAAAAAAAUCACCCGUUAUAUGUGAGUCGGUAUAAUUCGUUGACCACUUUUCGGCAUAAAGGGCGUUUUAACUUAGAUAGCCCGAAAACAUCCUAUUUUUCUAGAUUUUUUUCUCUAGGAAAUCAUAAUAUAUAAAAGGCUGAAAUUUUCACACAUUUAACUGAAGAAGUAUUUUGAAGAAAUACACAUGUUUUAGGGACCCAGUAAGGGGGAAGAGGGGGUUACCGAAUAAUGGCGGAAAAUCGGCGGCGAUUCGUCUUCAUAGUGGAAGUCUUAGCAUUCCACCCGUGGCACUAGAACCAAAGAGAAAACUUAACAAGUGCAAUAAUUAUAAGCUUUUAUUGAUUUUUCUCUUGAUCGUAAGUAAAAUAAUAUUUUUUUUGUGGAAUUAUACUAUUAAUCUUAAAAGCUUUAUUUUAACACUUAAGUCAAUUUUGAUGUACACUUGCGUAGAAAACAAUAAUCUCAGCUUGAUGAAAUUUUGAGUCACUAUUAGGCCUUAAAUUGCGCGUUGGGUUUGGGACCCGCCGCGUAAAGCCAACACUACCAAAGAAAAGAAAAAAAGACGCUUUGGAUCCCUAAUCGAUAACAAUGGAGCAGACGCUCCAUUGCCCGACCAUGAAGAAGUUCGAAUAGUAAUCCCGUCUGAAGAACAACAAAACGAACUGAUAAGGAGCAUUCAUCAGCUUCUUUGUUGAAUAUGGUCGGACGAAAGCAUGCCCAACGAUUGGAAUGUAAGGGUGCUCUGCCUAAUCCACAAGAAAGGAGACAAUCUGCGCCAACUACCUAAACACCGCAUGUAAGGUUCUAUCGAGCGUAUUGUAUGAAAGGUUAAAGGUUUAGGCCUGGCAAAUCAACAACAGACCAGAUAUUUACCAUGCGGCAAAUCUUGGAAAAGGUCUGUGAAGAGGAGAUCGCCAGCCACCACCACCUCGUAGAUUUUAAAGCUGCUUUUGACAGCACCAAAGGGAGCCGCCUCUAUGCCGCUAUGUCUGAAUUUGGUAUCCCCGCAAAACUAAUACGGCUGUGUGAACUGACUUUAACCCAUCUUCGGCCGCUACAUGAAAUCACAGUAAGUUUUUUAUUUCCUUUCGAAGGGGUGGUUUUAUGAUCAUAAUCAAGAAUGAUAAAAAAAAAAUUUUUUUUGACCAACCGUUUUCUUGAUAUGAACUGGUCGAAAAAUCGACCGCUGGCCAAAAACCGUCAAGUAUGAAUGUUUAAAUGAGUUAAGCAUCCACCCCUCUACCCGGUAAAACUGGCGCAUCCUAAUGCGCCUGUGCAAUUCACCACAGAUGAUGAUUACAACACAACUAAACACAUUUGUCAACAAAAAGGAUGGGCAACGGGAAGGCAGGCGCAAUUCGUUAAAAACAAUUCGAACAAAACAUUCGGCCACACACUGCGCCGCGAAAGCACUCUCUUCGUUACACACCCCCGUGCUGAGACUUUCGAUUCGUCUGCAGACCUAAGCGCAUAAGUUAUCCCCUUUUUGCGAGGUAGAGCUCAAACGCUUCUCCGUAACUUUGGAUACGCCGUGAUCCUGAACUACAUAUUUCGACAUCGCUUCGUACUACAUCGAUCCCGCAUUUGUUUCACUAUUAGUAUAAGUUUCCAUUUAUUGUAACCGGAGUUUAUAUUAAAAAUAAAUUAACACUUAUUUCCUAUCCACUAAAAAAUGUCUUUUAAUUAGAAAUAUUAAUCGCGAGUGUUAGUGACUCCUACAACUUAAAUACAGUGGUGUGAUUCUCACUUAGCUGGGCACCCAUUUAUUCAUGGUCCUUCGAGCCAUAGUGACAGGCACUAUGGAUUGUUUAAACAAGAUAAAAUAAAUCAAAAUUAAGCGGUGAAGAGCAGUGGCAAACAAUUAAAACAAAAAAAAAAAACAGUGUGCAGUGGGAAAACAAAAACAAAAAAAAAACAGUGCAAUGACCCAGCCAAAAAACAAAAAAUUAUAAAUAAACAACAUACCCUUGUACUUAUAUACAUACAUAAUAAACAAAAAAGGAAUCAACGGAAGGUGCAUUUCAAAGACUAAGCUACUCAGCAGUUAACAAAACAAAAAAAAAACAAAAAAAAACACGGUGAAGUGACUAAAAAAUUAAAAAUAAAUGUUCACACAUAAGACACAAAACAAAAAUCAAGAGUGGUGACUCGGCGAAAAUAUAUGCAUACAUGAAGUUACGAAAACUGCGGUAAUAAAACAUAAACUUACAGAAACAAAAUAUACAAAAAUUUUACAAACACAAAAAACAUACAUUGGGCGCGAAAAGUUAAAGCACCUAAACAAUAACACAAACAAAACAAGGAACAAACGCGCGCGAUCAGUAAAACAAAACCACACAUAUGUAAAUAGCAAAAAGUAAUGUAAAAGAAACAGAAAAAAACACACAGAAAAUCGCGCGCGAAACGUUAAAACAAGACAUAAAUAAAAACAAAAAAACGGGUGCGAAUUUAAAUUAAACUAGAAUAAACAAAAAAGCAGCAACAACAUACAUACAUACUGAACAACCAACUGGAAGCGGAGGAGAAGGGGUUAGCAUCAACGGCCCGAAUACCUGCAGACACAUAUAUACAACCGCAUUAUCCCCAAAAACCCUUGUUGGAAAACAAAGUGAGCGUAUUUAUUUCAUUUCAUUGAAUCUAUUUUAAAGCACAUAUAUAUGGAUGUAUAUACGAUUUAUAUGCUCUUAUAAAAUCCGUUUUAACAGCGGAAAAACGGUUACCAAACUGCUCUUUUGAGUUUACUUUGCGGGAAAAACCGACCACAGUUUGGUAUAACGUAUAUAUCAAUAUAUACAUGUACAUAUGCUAAACAAAUAAUAUUAAUUUAUUGCCCAUGUAAUAAUUUACCUUCGCGUAUUCAGACACAUUUACUAACAAAAAAAAAAAAAAAAAAACAAAACACAAAAA
Bactrocera dorsalis (oriental fruit fly) is the source of this 7266-nucleotide long non-coding RNA. RefSeq lists it as uncharacterized. Lineage: Eukaryota; Metazoa; Arthropoda; Insecta; Diptera; Tephritidae. The record is from RefSeq and is a predicted model, not a curated record. The transcript has 2 exons.